Molecule: ribosomal RNA, 253 nt
Filed under: uncultured bacterium
Lineage: Bacteria
Description: partial 16S ribosomal RNA
Rfam family: Bacterial small subunit ribosomal RNA
Source: RNAcentral
UACGAAGGGGGCUAGCGGUGUUCGGACUUACUGGGCGUAAAGCGCACGUAGGCGGCUCUGUUAGUUGGGGGUGAAAUCCCGAGGAUCAACCUCGGAAUUGCCUUCAAGACUGCAGGGCUUGAGUUCGGGAGAGGUGAGUGGAAUUCCCAGUGUAGAGGUGAAAUUCGUAGAGAUUGGGAAGAACACCAGUGGCGAAGGCGCCUCACUGGCCCGUAACUGACGCUGAGGUGCGAAAGCGUGGGGAGCAAACAGG